GGAUUGUGGCUCAGUGGCAGAGUGCUUGCCUUGCACGUGUGGGGUCCUGGGUUCAAACCUCAGCACCA
Molecule: transfer RNA, 68 nt
Filed under: Marmota monax (woodchuck)
Lineage: Eukaryota; Metazoa; Chordata; Mammalia; Rodentia; Sciuridae
Description: tRNA.Ala
Rfam family: tRNA (bases 5-65)
About the family: Transfer RNA (tRNA) molecules are approximately 80 nucleotides in length. Their secondary structure includes four short double-helical elements and three loops (D, anti-codon, and T loops).
Source: RNAcentral